RNAcentral lists this ribosomal RNA (347 nucleotides) under uncultured bacterium. RNAcentral's name for it is "partial 16S ribosomal RNA". It matches the Rfam family "Bacterial small subunit ribosomal RNA", at positions 338 to 682 of the family's 1533-position model. The record is from RNAcentral.
CCUACGGGAGGCAGCAGUGAGGAAUAUUGGUCAAUGGGCGUAAGCCUGAACCAGCCAAGUCGCGUGAGGGAUGAAGGUUCUAUGGAUCGUAAACCUCUUUUAUAAGGGAAUAAAGUGUGGGACGUGUCCUAUUUUGUAUGUACCUUAUGAAUAAGGAGCGGCUAACUCCGUGCCAGCAGCCGCGGUAAUACGGAGGAACCGAGCGUUAUCCGGAGUUAGUGGGUUUAAAGGGUGCGUAGGCGGCCUUUUAAGUCAGCGGUGAAAGUCUGUGGCUCAACCAUAGAAUUGCCGUUGAAACUGGGGGGCUUGAUUAUGUUUGAGCCAGGCGGAAUGCGUGUUGUAGCGGU